Molecule: long non-coding RNA, 2764 nt
Organism: Anas platyrhynchos (mallard)
Lineage: Eukaryota; Metazoa; Chordata; Aves; Anseriformes; Anatidae
Source: RefSeq, a predicted model, not a curated record
UGUAGUUAAUGAUUAUAGUUCAGCGUCUAGAUAUCCCUGCUAUGUCAAAGUCCUUUGAAAUACAACCUGAGCUGCAGAUUUACGACCAUCAAACUGCAUCUUUAUUCCAAUGUGAAACAGAGCAAGAGCCGUGCAGAGCAGCUAUCUGGAGGAGCAGGAUGAGGGAGCAGCAAUGAGGAGCAUGAAAGCAGCAGCCUUCUGCAGGAGGGCAGCAGGCUCUGGACUGCACCAUGGCAGAGGGCAGCCCCGUCCCCCUCCCACAGCCCCCACACCGUGUCCUGAGCCAGGACUGCCCUGCUCCUGCUGUGAGCACAGCUCCCUGCACUUGCACGUUUGAAUAAACAACUAUAUUGGGUUAAAAAGUGACCAGAAACAUGCUGGUGGGGUCAUACUCCAGCCGCCACCACUUGCCCUCCUCCAUCCCCACCUGAAACCGCAGCCCCGCUGAUGGCAGCUCGGGUCCUCAAGGGGAGCCCUGACCUCUCGUCCACCCAGCUGAGCCUAAUGAGAUCCAGCUACUACACGAAACAGCAAAUUAGCUCUUUUCCCACUGCCCAGACCACUUGAUUCUCAGUUGCAGAGAGGCAGGAGCAGUCCCUGGUCCUCGCAGGGCUGGGCUCAGCACCACGCAGCAUCGCUGAGCUCUGUGGAUGGAGCUGGAGCUGCCGUGCUGCCUGCAAGCCACGUGUGAGCCAACCCUUCCCUCCUCAGGUCGAGUUAGAACAAGACCAGAUUGCUCCCAGUAAAGCAAUCAGCCCAGACCGCCUUCACAAAGCCCACAGACGUUUUGCACUCGUUCUUUUUGCAAAGAAACUAAGCUAGAAAUUAAAGACAUCAGAAUUUCUUCUCCGAUAGAAAUUAGAGAGCUCUUCGGGGGGGACGGAGGGGGGUCUUACUCCCCACCCAGACUUUUUUCUCUGUAUCAGCAACAACUCAAGCCCCCCCCUCAAUAAGAUGUUUGCAAACAUUGCUGUUGGGUUGCCUGCAGGAUGAGUGGUCUGAGCUCAGACAUUUUCUGGAUACCUUGGCAAAACACACGAGCAGAGGCUGACUGCAAAGCAGCAACCGCGCUGCUCCCGCUAGGAACAUAAAUAAUUUGGGACUACACAUUUCUUUCUUAAUGCACAGCCUCUGUUCCCAAUUAGGGAAGGCCAAUGGCUGUCAAAGGCUUUCCCUCCCCAACAGCAGGGACGGGGGCAGCAGUUUGGUGACAGCACCGCGGGGCUCAUCUCAUGCACAGGUGUUGGCAGCGCUCGGACAUGCCAACCCACCCAUUUCCCAUCCUGUCCCUCUCAAUUAUUGUGGUUUAGGUACAGCAGAACUAGGAUACCUCUCUCCCAUUGCUUUUUUUUGGUUUACUUUUGGUUUUUGACCCCCUACCCAGCAGCACACCCUGAUGCUGCCCUGGCACCGUGUCCACGGCACUGCAGCGGCACCGACCAGCACAGGAAAGGUGCCGCAGGGCUGCACACCGAGCCUAACCACAUCUCCAAACAGCACCACUUCCCCUUCUGGGGGCUAAAACCUGGAUUUCUGAGAAAAAAUGCAACAUUUCAGAGCAGCAAGAAUCAAGUAAUGCAGCCAUUAAUAAGGAUUUCCAGACAAAUCUGACUGGAGAGAUAAUGGGCUUAAACAAGUAGAAAAAAAAAAAAAAAACAGUUUCUGCACCAGAAUAUUUUUCUUGUUGUAUUCACUGUAAUUAUUUUCUAAACGUAGAUCAUUUUAUAUGAUGCAGGCAGCAGUGUUCCAGAGCUAAUCAGGCCAUAUGUUUUCACAUUUUGAAAGGAAAACUAAUUAAAAAGAAAUGAAAAAGGUUGGUAAGGAGGGCUGUAGGUUUGGGUCAGAGAGGAGCGGUGAAGGAAUCCUUCAGGAAUGUAUACAUUCACUCUGCUCUGCGUUUUGUUUUCAGAAUUGUUUCUGGCAGAAACCUAAAGAAAAAUAUGAACCAGAUGUACAAGGAAAUAGUUUCUUCAUCAGAGAGAAGAAUAGUGCUCUGUCUGCCAGGAGAUUUUGGCCUUUACAUUUUAGGAAGGUGAUGUUAAAAAUACCCUUCGAAGGUGGCUUCUCCUUCGGCAGAGCCCAGGACGUCCCAGCCAGGGAGGAUGAGCAGCAGCUGGGAGGGACGGAGGGCUGCAGGGGGCACGGACAGCUGAGUGAUUUCUCUUCCAUCGCCUCAUCUCCUCCAUCUGCCACCAACCUGAGGACACCGCUCCUCUCCCACCCACUCCAGGGACGCUGGUGCUGGCAGCUGCUCCACACCCUGAUGGAUAACCAGGGGCCCUGUGUGCCCACACCACAACCAGGGGCCCCGUGUGCCCACACCGCACAAGGUGACAGCACAAAUCAUCUCUCUGCUGCCAGAGAUCUUCCCCCACUGCCGUGCCACAAGAGGAAAGUACCCGGAAAGGAGCCGGUGUGCUCAUCACAGCGAGGAGCCCAGUCCCCAAGGAGGGGAGGAACUGAAGACAGAGGGGUGGGGAGAGGAAAAAUAUACAUAUAUAUUAUAUACAUAUGCAUUCCCUCUGCUCCAAAAUGCUGCCUUCUGAUGGAAGCAGCAGCAGACAAGGGAGCAGGUGCUGUGGUGCUGCCGUACCCCAUCCCGGGAUGGGGGCACCCCACAGGAACCGACCCACGGACCCCAAGCCCCUGCAGAGGUCAAUGGCUGGGAAUGGGCAGCUUAAGUGGGAGUUAAUUAGGACUGGAAGAGAGCAAGGGAGAGCGAGCAGGGAACUUUAAUCUCAUUAAAUACACCUCGAGGCUCCAA